Molecule: ribosomal RNA, 497 nt
Filed under: uncultured bacterium
Lineage: Bacteria
Description: partial 16S ribosomal RNA
Rfam family: Bacterial small subunit ribosomal RNA
Source: RNAcentral
GAUGAACGCUGGCGGCGUGCCUAAUACAUGCAAGUCGAGCGAACAGACGAGGAGCUUGCUCCUCUGACGUUAGCGGCGGACGGGUGAGUAACACGUGGAUAACCUACCUAUAAGACUGGGAUAACUUCGGGAAACCGGCGCUAAUACCGGAUAAUAUAUUGAACCGCAUGGUUCAAUAGUGAAAGACGGUUUUGCUGUCACUUAUAGAUGGAUCCGCGCCGCAUUAGCUAGUUGGUAAGGUAACGGCUUACCAAGGCAACGAUGCGUAGCCGACCUGAGAGGGUGAUCGGCCACACUGGAACUGAGACACGGUCCAGACUCCUACGGGAGGCAGCAGUAGGGAAUCUUCCGCAAUGGGCGGAAGCCUGACGGAGCAACGCCGCGUGAGUGAUGAAGGUCUUCGGAUCGUAAAACUCUGUUAUUAGGGAAGAACAAAUGUGUAAGUAACUAUGCACGUCUUGACGGUACCUAAUCAGAAAGCCACGGCUAACUACGUG